ACUUAAAUUGAAGAGUUUGAUCAUGGCUCAGAUUGAACGCUGGCGGCAGGCCUAACACAUGCAAGUCGAGCGGUAGCACAGAGAGCUUGCUCUCGGGUGACGAGCGGCGGACGGGUGAGUAAUGUCUGGGAAACUGCCUGAUGGAGGGGGAUAACUACUGGAAACGGUAGCUAAUACCGCAUAAUGUCGCAAGACCAAAGUGGGGGACCUUCGGGCCUCAUGCCAUCAGAUGUGCCCAGAUGGGAUUAGCUGGUAGGUGGGGUAACGGCUCACCUAGGCGACGAUCCCUAGCUGGUCUGAGAGGAUGACCAGCCACACUGGAACUGAGACACGG
Molecule: ribosomal RNA, 334 nt
Filed under: Klebsiella pneumoniae subsp. pneumoniae
Lineage: Bacteria; Pseudomonadati; Pseudomonadota; Gammaproteobacteria; Enterobacterales; Enterobacteriaceae
Description: bacterial SSU rRNA
Rfam family: Bacterial small subunit ribosomal RNA
Source: RNAcentral